CUUCUUCUAGCGCCUUCUUAUUUGGCACCUCGGCGAAGGCAAAAGCAAGAGACCCCACCCUCCGGUUUCUUGGUUUUCUGCCUCAGCUGCCUUGUGUUCCUUUUCUUGCUCUGUUGGAUCUCAUCUCCUUCUUCAGCAUGUCAGCAUCGUCAUCUUUGCCAACAUCGUCAACGUUACCAUUACCAUUAUCUUCAUCAUCAUGACACAUAAGCACUUCUCCCGCCUCUCUCUGCAAUCGUGCACCCUGAAACUCAGCAAUUGGAAGCCGUUUUUCCAAUCUUCCGAUCUUCAUAGCCCAAGCAGUAGCACGACGAAGCAGAAUAUCGACUGCCCAAAUGAAUUUUCCGACCUCCCCACCAAGAAACAGUGCCUAUGUGAUGGCCCCAGUCGCGUUCUUCCCUCAAUUUCGACGCAUGUGGAGGUUCUAGAGAUCCCCAACCUCACUCUCGUGGAUGAAAAUCGAACCAGCAGACUGGUGAAGAAGAUGGCCAGGGGUUUCCGGCGCCCAUGGAAGCGGAGGCGCCGGGCGUCGAGGUCGGCGUCUGGCCGCAGUAGUGGCAAUCGGAGCCGGACGACGGUGGCUACAGUCUCUGCACCGGAUUUCCCCAUCAUGGUCGGGACGGACUCCAGCGGGGAGCUGUUCUUCAAGUUCGACGCCAAUUGGGCUCCGCAUGAGCUGAAGGGCUCUUGCGGGAAGGAGGGGAAGGAGUUCCUUGGUGGUAGAGAAAACUUCUUCUCUUCGAAUUGUUCGUUGCAUAGUGUGGUUGAUUCUCAGAGUCAUGACUCUGGCUACGUUAGUGAACCGGGGUACAAGGGUGAUGUCGAGUAUGGGUAUGGCGAUGAACUUGAUGAGGAGGAAGAAGAUGGUCGGUUCCUGUUUUGGGGUGAUUCAGGCUCCAAGAAAAUGGAGGUUGAAGAUGCUUGGAGAUGCCUCCUCGUGAAAUUAACUUCUGAGGACUCUUAUAGCGUAGCUCACCAGUCCAGCUACUUCUUCAUUUUCAUUUAAUCUCAUUGGUGAAUAUGGGCAUUGGCACAUAUGGAGCUUGUUCUUCUCCCUUCCUCUCAAUCUUUUGACAAUAGGCUUUCCAAUUAUCACCUGCUACUGCUGGCUGUAUCAUUUCACAUUCCUUCCUUCAUUUUAUGCAUUUACAUUGCUCCAUAGCUUAGAAAGGAAGGUGAGAUGGAAUCAUCUUCCUAAUAAACUAUAGCCUGUCUUGCGACUUCUGAGGUUCAUAUAGAAUUGUACAUUAUGUGUCAAGUUCUUGACAUUGCUUAAGCAUCCAAAAGUGUGGGGUCUCCUUUCCCAUUCAUGGGAGAUUGGCUACCUUGGCCAAUGCAAAUUUCAGGUCAACCUGAGUUCCUUUGCAUGCAUUUCUGUUGCAUAUUAUUAACCAAACCAUCUGGUAUCUACAUGAGGUCUCAUCUAGGUUCAGUGAUGUAGGAGAAUGUUUCAAUAUGUUUCAUGUAAUAGUGAUAUAGCAAAUAGUAAAAGUGUAUAAGUUAUAUGGGUUUUAGGAUGUACGUCUGACUUCGCCUAUAGGUAUUUGGUAGUCUGUAUUGAGUGUUUGGAUUUGACGUGGCUACCUAAAUAUCAUAUCUGUAUCAGAUUCAGCCUAGCCUUGUCUUAUAAAGGACAAAUGAAAUUCAAUGAGGAACUACUCUUUCCUGAGAGUUCCGUGGAUUCUUUAGAGUUCUCUUCCUUCUAUAUAAUAAAAGAAACUUGUGUUUUCUUCACCAUCUUGUCUACCCUUGUUCCAAUGUCAAGAACUGCCAUACCUCUGUUGUUUUUCGUGGAUUGACCUCAUCGAGUGGGAUCACAAUGUGCUUGCAUGUUUAUAGGUGAAACAGGAAAAUCCUCUCCUAUUCUUCAGGUCCUCCAGUCUUGUUUCCUGAAUAUGUUUGCUGGAUUAGCAGAUGCAACUUUCUUGUGUGUUGGUGGAUAGCUCCUGCAUGCACGCACAGUUGAAAUUCACCAGUGCGACCAAGUUAAGAUCGAAUGGAAGAUGUUGCUGUAGAUGUAGUUGCAGAGCAGAAGAGUUACCACAGAUGCAGGCAUAAGAAGGGUGACUGCAGAAUGGUUGUUUCGUAGAUGCGAAUGUGAUUAGCUCAGCCUCCAUUAGAAUCCAUCUCCUUACUGAACAGUACGCAGUGAAAAUUAUUUGACUUGGAAACAUCUUAUUACAUGCACCAUUUGCAGUUCGCUAUGCUAAUUCCUAACCUUCAUCACUGCCCUCGUCAGUCAAUGUAAAAGUUUUGCAGCUGCCUCUUUUUUUUUCCCCUCUCUCUAAGGCCAAAUCGGGGCCUACAUUUGUGAUUAAAUUCAUUAUUUUCUAUCAGGAAUGUAAUCGUCUUUUACA
RNA transcript from Nymphaea colorata (pocket water lily), 2357 nucleotides. RefSeq lists it as uncharacterized. The transcript has 3 exons. Lineage: Eukaryota; Viridiplantae; Streptophyta; Magnoliopsida; Nymphaeales; Nymphaeaceae. The record is from RefSeq and is a predicted model, not a curated record.